Long non-coding RNA from Monodelphis domestica (gray short-tailed opossum), 557 nucleotides. RefSeq lists it as uncharacterized. Lineage: Eukaryota; Metazoa; Chordata; Mammalia; Didelphimorphia; Didelphidae. The record is from RefSeq and is a predicted model, not a curated record.
GGAGCCCAAGAGAAGUGAAUUAUCGCAUCGUAGUCCGAGAUCUGGGCAAACCCUGCACGAGUAUGAAGCUCUGUCUUCCUCGAGCCGCUCUACCUCCUAUAGCGCUCGAUACAGAGGAGCCUUAUUUGACUACGGUUUUAAAGGAGAAUCAAGACUCAACUUGACAUAAUGAAAUCAUUUCCUAUGACUCCCUCAGGAAGUUGCCCAGCAUUCUCCCUCCUGACUUCCAGAAAAUGAAUUCUUUCAAAUUCCCAACCUGCCUCUGUUUCCUGGUGCCUGGACCAUGAAAAUGAUUGAAAUUUUACAUCAGGUUUUUAUGAAUGUAGAGGAGUAAAAGGUGGAGCUGGUGAACUUGGUUCUGCAUCUCUGCUACUAGAACCAACUGAAACCAGCUGGAGAAAGUCAUUUGUUAAAUUUUAGGAGUGAGCAUUUACACUCAGGAAAGCAGAAAAUGCUACAAAUUAGGACUUGAAAUAUUGUUUUGUUUAUUCUAGACUUAAAAAAGCGAAGAAGAAAGUGUUAAUAAUGCAAAUUAAACUAUAAAACUUUAAAAAAUA